CCUGGUAGUCCACGCCCUAAACGAUGUCAACUAGUUGUUGGGGAUUCAUUUCCUUAGUAACGUAGCUAACGCGUGAAGUUGACCGCCUGGGGAGUACGGUCGCAAGAUUAAAACUCAAAGGAAUUGACGGGGACCCGCACAAGCGGUGGAUGAUGUGGAUUAAUUCGAUGCAACGCGAAAAACCUUACCUACCCUUGACAUGGUCGGAAUCCUGCUGAGAGGYGGGAGUGCUCGAAAGAGAACCGGCGCACAGGUGCUGCAUGGCUGUCGUCAGCUCGUGUCGUGAGAUGUUGGGUUAAGUCCCGCAACGAGCGCAACCCUUGUCCUUAGUUGCUACGCAAGAGCACUCUAAGGAGACUGCCGGUGACAAACCGGAGGAAGGUGGGGAUGACGUCAAGUCCUCAUGGCCCUUAUGGGUAGGGCUUCACACGUCAUACAAUGGUCGGAACAGAGGGUUGCCAACCCGCGAGGGGGAGCUAAUCCCAGAAAACCGAUCGUAGUCCGGAUUGCACUCUGCAACUCGAGUGCAUGAAGCUGGAAUCGCUAGUAAUCGCGGAUCAGCAUGCCGC
This 569-nucleotide ribosomal RNA is filed under the name Burkholderia cepacia. RNAcentral describes it as "bacterial SSU rRNA". It matches the Rfam family "Bacterial small subunit ribosomal RNA", at positions 786 to 1360 of the family's 1533-position model. Lineage: Bacteria; Pseudomonadati; Pseudomonadota; Betaproteobacteria; Burkholderiales; Burkholderiaceae. The record is from RNAcentral.